RNAcentral lists this ribosomal RNA (253 nucleotides) under uncultured bacterium. RNAcentral describes it as "partial 16S ribosomal RNA". It matches the Rfam family "Bacterial small subunit ribosomal RNA", at positions 524 to 776 of the family's 1533-position model. The record is from RNAcentral.
UACAGAGGUGGCAAGCGUUGUUCGGAAUUACUGGGCGUAAAGGGCGCGUAGGCGGCCUUGUCAGUCAGACGUGAAAUCCCCAGGCCUAACCUGGGAACUGCGUCUGAUACUACAAGGCUGGAGUGCGGGAGAGGGAUGUGGAAUUCCAGGUGUAGCGGUGAAAUGCGUAGAUAUCUGGAGGAACACCGGUGGCGAAGGCGGCAUCCUGGACCGACACUGACGCUGAGGCGCGAAAGCUAGGGGAGCAAACGGG